UUUUUUUCUAAAAAAAUUUUUUUUAAGAGGUAUUGUGAAAGGUAUGAUUUUAUGAUUUUUUGAAGGAGCGAAUUUUUUUUUAAAAUAUUAGUUUGGUUCUUUUACUUUUUGUAUCAUGGAGUAUAUAGGGUUUUAUUUUAUUAUAGGUCCUGAAAAUAAGUAUGGGGUGUUGGUUUAAUUUAGAGGAAAAAUAUGUUUUUUUUUUAUUUUUCAAUGUUCAGUUCUUUAGGGUUAAUCUUAAUGAAAAGGGUUUAGUUUUUAAAAGAGUUUAGUAGAGUUAGAAUUUCUCAUCUUUAGAUUUUUGUUUAAAUUAAUUUUUUAAAAUUUUUUUUAAUUUAGUACCCCUUCCUUUAAAAAAAUUUUUUUUAAAGGAUUAGUAUACUAUCAGUAAAAAAAGUUUGUUUGUUUAUUUUGAUUAAAUUUCUAGGUUUUAUUUUUGAAUGUUGAAGUUGUUUAUUGUUAUUUAAUUGUAAGGAAUUAGGCAAAUAUUAUUUCCGCCUGUUUAGUAAAAACAUGGCUUUCAGAUUAAAAAUAUUGAAAGUCUGGCCUGCCCGGUGAUAUUUUUUAACGGUUGCUAUUGACGGUAGUACUAAGGUAGCGUAAUAAUUUGUCCUUUAAUUGGGGAACGGUAUGAAUGGUUUGACGAGAGAUAGUCUGUCUCACAGUUAUAUUUUGAAGUUUUCUUCUUAGUGAAAAGACUAAGAUUUUUUUAAAAGACGAGAAGACCCCAUCGAGCUUGUUAAGGUGUUUAAUUUUAUUAGAUAAUUAUUUUUUGUUGGGGCAAUGGGGAGAAUAAUAAAUUCUUCUAAUGUUUGUGUGUAUCCUUUUUUAAAGAAUUUAUAAGAAGCUACCGUGGGGAUAACAGCGUAAUUUUCUUGGAGAGGGCUUAUUAAAAAGGAAUGUUGCGACCUCGAUGUUGAAUUAAGGUGUAAUUCGGGUGCAGGAGCUUGAAUAGUAGGCCUGUUCGUCCUUUAAAACCUUACAUGAUUUGAGUUUAAAUCGGCGUGAGCUAGGUUGGUUUCUAUCUUUAUUUUUGGUUUCCUAUGUACGAAAGGAUCGGGAAGCUUAAAUUUUUUUAAUUUGUAAAUUUUUUCAGUUCAAUUCUGU
Molecule: ribosomal RNA, 1107 nt
Filed under: Xyloredo sp. E88
Lineage: Eukaryota; Metazoa; Mollusca; Bivalvia; Myida; Pholadidae
Description: 16S ribosomal RNA
Rfam family: Archaeal large subunit ribosomal RNA (bases 711-1030)
Source: RNAcentral